CAGCCGCCGCGGGAAAACGAAGGGGGCUAGCGUUGUUCGGAAUUACUGGGCGUAAAGCGCACGUAGGCUGACAUUUAAGUCAGGGGUGAAAUCCCGGGGCUCAACCUCGGAACUGCCUUUGAUACUGGGUGUCUUGAGUGUGGAAGAGGUAAGUGGAAUUGCGAGUGUAGAGGUGAAAUUCGUAGAUAUUCGCAGGAACACCAGUGGCGAAGGCGGCUUACUGGUCCACAACUGACGCUGAGGUGCGAAAGCGUGGGGAGCAAACAGGAUUAGAUACCCCGGUAGUCCCUGUCUCUUAUCC
This 301-nucleotide ribosomal RNA is filed under the name uncultured bacterium. RNAcentral's name for it is "partial 16S ribosomal RNA". It matches the Rfam family "Bacterial small subunit ribosomal RNA", at positions 509 to 809 of the family's 1533-position model. The record is from RNAcentral.